This 497-nucleotide ribosomal RNA is filed under the name uncultured bacterium. RNAcentral describes it as "partial 16S ribosomal RNA". It matches the Rfam family "Bacterial small subunit ribosomal RNA", at positions 28 to 507 of the family's 1533-position model. The record is from RNAcentral.
GAUGAACGCUGGCGGCGUGCCUAAUACAUGCAAGUCGAGCGAACAGACGAGGAGCUUGCUCCUCUGACGUUAGCGGCGGACGGGUGAGUAACACGUGGAUAACCUACCUAUAAGACUGGGAUAACUUCGGGAAACCGGAGCUAAUACCGGAUAAUAUAUUGAACCGCAUUGUUCAAUAGUGAAAGACGGUUUUGCUGUCACUUAUAGCUGGAUCCGCGCCGCAUUAGCUAGUUGGUAAGGUAACGGCUUACCAAGGCAACGAUGCGUAGCCGACCUGAGGGGGUGAUCGGCCACACUGGAACUGAGACACGGUCCAGACUCCUACGGGAGGCAGCAGUAGGGAAUCUUCCGCAAUGGGCGAAAGCCUGACGGAGCAACGCCGCGUGAGUGAUGAAGGUCUUCGGAUCGUAAAACUCUGUUAUUAGGGAAGAACAAAUGUGUAAGUAACUAUGCACGUCUUGACGGUACCUAAUCAGAAAGCCACGGCUAACUACGUG